CACAUGGAUUUGCACCAGCGCAAUCUCUCCUUCAGAGAUGCCCUCGCAGUCGACGGCGAUCACGGGCUGGCGCGCCAACAGCCUCGACGCAUGGCGGCACGCAUCGAGGGUGUCGAUCAAGCACACACCAUUGGGCAGGAGCGCACACUGGGGACCGUCUCUGCCGUCAGAGCCGAUUGCCGGCCACGCCCUCUGUCGAUAGGCCGCUGUGGUCUCGGUGUCAUUUGCCCACGCGCAGCGCACGCGCUUGUCGUUGUCACUGUCAUGUCCGGGCACAGUGCACACAAGCGACGCCGCUCGGUGAUCAACCACGUACAAGGCCAGUGUGGUGGCGCGUGCCGUGGGGAUGCCGCGCGCAACUAUGCGGGUGGCAAUUUCGUCGACGGUGGCGCCAUGUUUGCGCGCGCUGGGGUCAAAGAGCAGCCACGAGAGGACGUCGUCGCAAGCGCGCGCCUCGGCACCAAAGACGCCGUCGACGGCGACCGCACAGGGCGUGCGCACGGGCGAUAUCGUGCUCCCAUCGCCAAACAGAACCGCGGCCAGGCGGUCGGGUGCCAGGCACUUGUAGCCGACUCGCCCUGUCGUCAGGCACGCACGACGGAACCCGACGCCGCCGUUCCCAUUGUCAAUGGUUGACAGUAUAAAAGCCUUGCAGGCGAGAGCGUCGGCCCACGCGGCGUCGGCAAGGACCUCUGCAAAUUGUGCCACCUUGGCAGCGGCAUCGGCAGCGUUGUCGGCGUGAAUGAUGAUCUCGUCGCUGUUCCACGCCGCCAGGUCCGUGGGUGCACACGCGCCGGCAUCGGCCAGUCGCUCAAAGGCUUGUACAGCGACGCGCGACCACAAGACACGCUGGAGGUCGGGUCGCAGUGCGUCCUGCGACAGGGCCAACAUGCGGAGACCCUUGGCGCGUGCCACGUAGGCGAUGGCGCCCUUGUCGGGGAGGACGUCGUCGCGUACGACAAAUGCCUCCCACGAGGCCUCGGCAAUGAGGCCGGCGUGACGGAGGGGUUGAAAGUUGGCCGCGAUAAUAUCGAUCGAGACAAAGCAACUGCCAUCAUUGGCCAUCUGGUAGAUGGUGGCCGUCUUGGACGUCGGGGCUUGAGGCUUUGCGCCACGCACGGGCCACACGGCGGCGACACACGGCAUCGGCGGCAGGGGCAGACUCGACCAAGUUGCAAAGGCCGGCGACGACGUGAGCAAGGCUGUUACGCGCGCCACGGUGCCACGGUGGAGGUCGACGAGGCGCUUUUCGCCGCCGAGGGUAACAAUGGCCAUGGUAACGGCCGCCAGUAGGCCUGCGCCGUCGACAUGGGGCAAGGUUACGUAGCGGUCGUUGCGCUCGCGCACACAGACACCUUGAUCGUCGGCCUCUUCCCGACUAUUGUUGUCGUGGUCGCCAUCAUCGCUUGAGUCCUUGUCGCGGCCAUGCGACGACCCUAUGGCAAAGAGGCGUACGCCGACAUAGCGUUGAAGGUGGGCGCGCGUGUCGGGCGACAGGUCGCGAAACAACAGGCGCAGCGGCCGCGGCGAGACGAGGAGCCAGCGCGAGGCGCCCGUGCCCAUACGCGCACAGUGCAACCCCAGUGCGCCUGUGAGCGCCGCCACCUCGCGCUGCUUGACGCCCGACGGACAGAUGGGCACAAUCACAUGGUCUGCGGUCGGCCACUGCUCCAACUUGGCCUGGGCGAGGGCCACCGCCGCUGCGGCGUCGGGCGCCUCGCGCGGUCUGGUCUGCCGAUCUGCGAUACCAUUCUCUGGUGCACGCUCGCUCUUUUCGCAUCCGGCCGUCGAGGACUGUCGUGUGCCAUUGGCCUUGCGUCCUUUCAUCGACCGAGGAAAAGGGAAAGACCAAAGAGGUUCCUUUGUUUGUUGGUUAUGUCUUGUGUAUGUUGAGAGCCUUUUUGCGGCCGCACAAUAGACUAGGCAUGUCAGCCGACCAGUGCGGUCGCUUUCAUUCAUAAUUGCG
This 1966-nucleotide long non-coding RNA is filed under the name Pandoravirus celtis. RNAcentral describes it as "hypothetical ncRNA". The record is from RNAcentral.